Molecule: ribosomal RNA, 401 nt
Filed under: Amphifilaceae sp.
Lineage: Eukaryota; Bigyra; Amphifilida; Amphifilaceae
Description: partial small subunit ribosomal RNA
Rfam family: Eukaryotic small subunit ribosomal RNA
Source: RNAcentral
AGCUCCAAUAGGAUAUAUCAAAGUUGUUGCAGUUGAAAAGCUCGUAGUCGUAUUUCUGGUGGGUUGAUGCUCGCGAUGUGUUGGACGAAAGUCUGAUGUUUCCCGGGCCGCCUGCCAUUUUGUGGGCCAACGUGGCGGGGAUGUGGUUUACUCCAUGCCCUCGUCGCGCCACUCCGUCACUGAGAGCAAAUUGGAGUGCUCAAAGCAGGCUUUACAGCUUUGAACAUCUUAGCUUGGAAUGACAAAGUAUGACUUUUUGUUCACUUUGUUGGUUAUGAACGAGAAGUAAUGAUAAAUAGGAACAGUUGCGGGGGUACUCGUACUGGAAAGUCAGAGGUGAAAUUCUUGGAUUUUUCCAUGACGAACGACUGCGAAAGCAUUUACCAAGGAUGUUUUCAUUG